Molecule: ribosomal RNA, 496 nt
Filed under: uncultured bacterium
Lineage: Bacteria
Description: partial 16S ribosomal RNA
Rfam family: Bacterial small subunit ribosomal RNA
Source: RNAcentral
AUGAACGCUGGCGGCGUGCCUAAUACAUGCAAGUCGAGCGAACAGACGAGGAGCUUGCUCCUCUGACGUUAGCGGCGGACGGGUGAGUAACACGUGGAUAACCUACCUAUAAGACUGGGAUAACUUCGGGAAACCGGAGCUAAUACCGGAUAAUAUAUUGAACCGCAUGGUUCAAUAGUGAAAGACGGUUUUGCUGUCACUUAUAGAUGGAUCCGCGCCGCAUUAGCUAGUUGGUAAGGUAACGGCUUACCAAGGCAACGAUGCGUAGCCGACCUGAGAGGGUGGUCGGCCACACUGGAACGGGGACACGGUCCAGACUCCUACGGGAGGCAGCAGUAGGGAAUCUUCCGCAAUGGGCGGAAGCCUGACGGAGCAACGCCGCGGGAGUGAUGAAGGUCUUCGGAUCGUAAAACUCUGUUAUUAGGGAAGAACAAAUGUGUAAGUAACUAUGCACGUCUUGACGGUACCUAAUCAGAAAGCCACGGCUAACUACGUG